Molecule: long non-coding RNA, 1572 nt
Organism: Corvus moneduloides (New Caledonian crow)
Lineage: Eukaryota; Metazoa; Chordata; Aves; Passeriformes; Corvidae
Source: Ensembl
AACAGUGACACAUGUUCGUUCCCCCUGACACUCAUUCUUUCCCCCUGUUUUUUAAUUUGAAGAAUCGGGUAAUUACUACCUUGGAGUUUCCAUCCUCUGGAAAAUGCCAUGCCCUCCUACAAAAGACAGGCCUUUCUGUUAAAAGAGAAGUGCUCAUGGUGGGUAAUUUAUAUGAGUGGUUCUGGCUUUUGUGUGCUCCUGAGCAUGACACUGACAGGCAAAGGAGCUCAGACUGCAGGCUGGCUGUUUAUGGCACUGAAGACAAAGAAAGCUCCGAAAAAAGGCUCCAGAUUUUCUUCCUAAUUAGUGUCCUCUAGACCCUUGUAAUCACAUGCCACGCAAAUGAACUGCCUGUUAUUCAGCCAAACAGAUGACAGUGGACUGGGUGACUUCCUCUGUCGCCAGCAGGCUGGAAGAAAAGAAGCGGGGAGACACUACACGCUGUAAAUGCUUCUUUUCCGCGUCGGGAAAAGGGAACGGCGGCCGCGGGCACAGGGCGGGGGUGCAGCGCCCUCUGCAGGCUGCGCCGCCACCGCCACGCACCCGGGCACCGCAUCCACCGCGCCCAACGGCGGGGCUCAGGGAUUCCGGGAAUAAAUCGCUUCCUUCUGUGUUGCUAGCAUUCUAUAUUAAUCGGAAAGAACCCCAACAAACAACUAACAAAACAAACCACACCGAAACAGAAUAUGGAAGAUGUGGAAUCACCACUGUCCGGCAGGAAUCCCUCGGAAGUGGCCUCAAGUUGAGCCAGGGGAAGUUCAGGCCACUGCUGGGCAGAGAAGACAGAGGCAAGCCCCCUCCUGGAAGGGACUGUUGCAUGGGCUGGCUCAUUGGAAGCCAGGGGCAGCUGAGUGUGUCCCAGCAUUUUCCCUGCCCUCCAGUGUGCACUCCUCAUGACAGCAAGGGCUCAGUGUCCUUCUUCAGCAUGGAUACAGGAUCAGCAGAGAUUUAACAAUGUACUGCUGGUGAACCAAUAUGGGAAAUGGGACCCGAAUGAGAUCUGGAGGAUUAGACCGAAGCAAGGAAACUCAAGGGGAACUGUAAGAGAAGCUACCAAGGAUGGUAAGAAAAAGCAUUUGGUAGCAGGAGAGUCAACUGUGUCCCUGGAGAAUAGCCAUCCUUUUGUAAGGAUGGAGCUAACAGAAUAGUGAUUAUGACUGUGCCUGAAGCAAACGUUCAUGGUAUUACUGAGAUGUUUGACAAUUUAGUCAGGGGAGCUCAAGAUGAAAGGAUAACUUGUUAGUACUAUGUGUGCUGCAGAAAAAAAAAAGGAAUGAACAGUAUCUUAUAUUUAUAUCACACCUUUCAUCCUGAAAGAAUCCCAAAACACUCCACAAACCACAUAUGGAAGUGACUUCUGCCUCUGCUGAAUACGGAUGAUGGGGUGAAACAUGCCAGCUCUCUUAAUAUCAGAAACCAGCACUGCUGCACAGCAGCUCAGGAAAAAAAGAAGAGAGAGCCAGGCACAAAUCAAAAUGUAAAAUAAUAAUUUUCUAGGCAAAAAUGUGGAAGAACAGACCAAAAACAUGCAGUAUUUUCAGAACUCUUCAUUAUAUGAAUGGAAAAAGACUG